GUGCCAGCAGCCGCGGUAAUACGGAGGGUGCAAGCGUUAUCCGGAUUCACUGGGUUUAAAGGGUGCGUAGGUGGAUUGAUAAGUCAGUGGUGAAAGCCCCGAGCUCAACUUGGGAAUUGCCAUUGAUACUGUUAGUCUUGAGUUCGGUUGAGGUAGGCGGAAUAAGUCAUGUAGCGGUGAAAUGCUUAGAUAUGACUUAGAACACCGAUUGCGAAGGCAGCUUACCAAGCCGACACUGACACUGAGGCACGAAAGCGUGGGGAUCAAACAGGAUUAGAUACCCGAGUAGUCC
RNAcentral lists this ribosomal RNA (292 nucleotides) under uncultured bacterium. Its description in RNAcentral is "partial 16S ribosomal RNA". It matches the Rfam family "Bacterial small subunit ribosomal RNA", at positions 505 to 796 of the family's 1533-position model. The record is from RNAcentral.